GACGAACGCUGGCGGCGUGGAUUAGGCAUGCAAGUCGAACGGUAUCAUCCUUUCGGGGGUGAGAGAGUGGCGAACUGGUGAGUAACACGUAGGUUAUCUACCCUCAAGACGGGGACAACCCAGGGAAACUUGGGCUAAUACCGGAUGUGAGCAACUUUUAGUUGUUUGAAAGGUGGCGUAAGCUGUCGCUUGGGGAUGAGCCUGCGUCCUAUUAGUUAGUUGGUGAGGUAACGGCUCACCUAGGCAAUGAUAGGUAGGCGGCCUUAACGGGUGGUCGCCCACACUGGGAUUGAGAUACGGCCCAGACUCCUACGGGAGGCAGCAGUCGAGAAUAGUCUACAAUGGUCGGAAGACUGAUAGUGCGACGCCGCGUGAACGAUGAAUCCCUUCGGGGUGUAAAGUUCUUUUAUAUGUGAGCAGUGCUUCUAUAUUAACAGUAUGGGAGAGAGAUAUUAGCAUAUGAAUAAGCAACGGCUAAACUCCGUGCCAGCAGCCGGGUAAAA
This 503-nucleotide ribosomal RNA is filed under the name uncultured bacterium. RNAcentral describes it as "bacterial SSU rRNA". It matches the Rfam family "Bacterial small subunit ribosomal RNA", at positions 28 to 525 of the family's 1533-position model. The record is from RNAcentral.